This 332-nucleotide ribosomal RNA is filed under the name uncultured bacterium. RNAcentral's name for it is "bacterial SSU rRNA". It matches the Rfam family "Bacterial small subunit ribosomal RNA", at positions 28 to 334 of the family's 1533-position model. The record is from RNAcentral.
GAUGAACGCUGGCGGCGUGCUUAACACAUGCAAGUCGAACGAAGCACUUUGGAUGGAUCUCUUCGGAAUGAUAUCCUUGGUGACUGAGUGGCGGACGGGUGAGUAACACGUAAGCAACCUGCCUAUAAGUGGGGGAUAACAUCCGGAAACGGGUGCUAAUACCGCAUAAUAACCGACACCACAUGGUGUAAGUUUGAAAGAUGGCUCUGCUGUCACUUAUAGAUGACCUUGCGGUGCAUUAGCUAGUUGGUGGGGUAAUAGCCUACCAAGGCCAUGAUGCAUAGCCGACCUGAGAGGGUGAUCGGCCACAUUGGGACUGAGAUACGGCCCAG